GAUGAACGCUAGCGGCAGGCUUAACACAUGCAAGUCGAACGGUAACAUUGGUGCUUGCACCAGAUGACGAGUGGCGCACGGGUGCGUAACGCGUAUGCAAUCUACCUUUUACUGAAGAAUAGCCCAGAGAAAUUUGGAAUAAUCCUUCAUAAUAUCAUUUAUCAGCAUUGAUAUUUGAUUAAAGCUCCGGCGGUAAAAGAUGAGCAUGCGUCCUAUUAGUUUGUUGGUGAGGUAACGGCUCACCAAGACUACGAUAGGUAGGGGCCCUGAGAGGGGGAUCCCCCACACUGGUACUGAGACACGGACCAGACUCCUACGGGAGGCAGCAGUGAGGAAUAUUGGACAAUGGAGGCAACUCUGAUCCAGCCAUGCCGCGUGCAGGAUGACUGCCCUAUGGGUUGUAAACUGCUUUUAUAUAAGAAGAAACACUCCCACGUGUGGGGGCUUGACGGUACUAUAUGAAUAAGGAUCGGCUAACUCCG
Molecule: ribosomal RNA, 482 nt
Filed under: uncultured Flavobacteriaceae bacterium
Lineage: Bacteria; Pseudomonadati; Bacteroidota; Flavobacteriia; Flavobacteriales; Flavobacteriaceae
Description: bacterial SSU rRNA
Rfam family: Bacterial small subunit ribosomal RNA
Source: RNAcentral